Sapajus apella (tufted capuchin) is the source of this 605-nucleotide long non-coding RNA. RefSeq lists it as uncharacterized. NCBI's taxonomy places the organism in Eukaryota, Metazoa, Chordata, Mammalia, Primates, Cebidae. The record is from RefSeq and is a predicted model, not a curated record. The transcript is spliced from 2 exons.
UGAAUAGCCGGGAGCGGCGGUUGCACCUGCAGUUACUUUCCCUCUUUCUUGUUUAAACCUUCCCUUCUCAGUCCGUCGUCCUGCACACCCCAAGUUUAGGGUUGCUGCAAACGUUAAAAUCCCCGCACCCGCGCGUGCUUCCCGCGAGUUUUGAAGUAUUUCACUGGUAUUAAAGAAGUAAAUGCUUGGGAUAAAUAUUAUCAUCAUGAAAAAGUUUGUUUUGUUCAAGCAUAUGAAAGAUGACCCUGGAAUUUUUUAAUUGGAAAGGAAAUGACAAGAACAAACUCUGCUUACUGCCUCAUUAUGUCCACCCUUUCGAAAUUCAGUUACAUAUGGUUCUGCUUACUCAACUCGGAUGUUCUCAGGGUAACUUGGUGAAAUGAUUUGACUUCCUUUCUGGAACUCACAGAACCCACAUUCAACGUGGAAGUGAUGGAUGAAGCCAGGAAUUCUGAGUCUGAGAGACAGUGAUUCCUGAAGUGAUUGGCAAAAUGAAGUGUAUGUCUGUGUAGAAUUUUUCUGCAAGAAAGACACCAGUUUGAAAUUGGAAGCUUAAAUGGGUUUGAGCCCAACAAUAAUGUUAAAAAAAAAAAAAAAAAAAAAAA